RNAcentral lists this ribosomal RNA (1266 nucleotides) under uncultured fungus. Its description in RNAcentral is "eukaryotic LSU rRNA". The stretch from base 605 to 1266 matches the Rfam family "Eukaryotic large subunit ribosomal RNA", at positions 1 to 649 of the family's 3401-position model. The record is from RNAcentral. Lineage: Eukaryota; Fungi.
AAGUCGUAACAAGGUUUCCGUAGGUGAACCUGCGGAAGGAUCAUUAGUGAAUUGAAUAUGUUAGCGGACCUCUUCGGAGUCCCUAGCAUCAAAUCAUAUCCAUAACACCUGUGAACUGUAAGGCUGUCUUGAAAACGAAAGUGAUUAGAGCGCCUGCCCAUUUUAUACAAACAUUAAAGUAACAAACGUAGUCUUAUUAUAAUCUAAUAAAACUUUCAACAACGGAUCUCUUGGCUCUCGCAUCGAUGAAGAACGCAGCGAAAUGCGAUAAGUAAUGUGAAUUGCAGAAUUCAGUGAAUCAUCGAAUCUUUGAACGCACCUUGCGCUCUUUGGUAUUCCGAAGAGCAUGCCUGUUUGAGUGUCAUGAAAAUAUCAACCUUGACUUGGGUUUAGUGCUCUUGUCUUGGCUUGGAUUUGGCUGUUUGCCGCUCGAAAGGGUCGGCUCAGCUUAAAAGUAUUAGCUGGAUCUGUCUUUGAGACUUGGUUUGACUUGGCGUAAUAAGUUAUUUCGCUGAGGACAAUCUUCGGAUUGGCCGAGUUUCUGGGACGUUUGUCCGCUUUCUAAUACAAGUUCUAGCUUGCUAGACAUGACUUUUUUAUUAUCUGGCCUCAAAUCAGGUAGGACUACCCACUGAACUUAAGCAUAUCAAUAAGCGGAGGAAAAGAAACUAACAAGGAUUCCCCUAGUAACGGCGAGUGAAGCGGGAAGAGCUCAAAUUUGAAAUCUGGUGGCCUCAGGCUAUCCGAGUUGUAAUCUAUAGAAACAUUUUCCGCGUUGGCCCAUGUACAAGUCUCUUGGAAUAGAGCGUCAUAGAGGGUGAGAAUCCCGUCCUUGACAUGGACUACCAGUGCUUUGUGAUAUGUUUUCAACGAGUCGAGUUGUUUGGGAAUGCAGCUCAAAAUGGGUGGUAAAUUCCAUCUAAAGCUAAAUAUUGGCGAGAGACCGAUAGCGAACAAGUACCGUGAGGGAAAGAUGAAAAGCACUUUGGAAAGAGAGUUAAACAGUAUGUGAAAUUGUUGAAAGGGAAACGAUUGAAGUCAGUCGUGUCUAUUGGACUCAGCCGGUUCUGCCGGUGUACUUCCUUUAGAUGGGGUCAACAUCAGUUUUGAUCGCUGGAAAAGGGCAGGAGGAAUGUAGCACUCUCGGGUGAACUUAUAGCCUUCUGUCGCAUACAGUGGUUGGGACUGAGGAACGCAGCUUGCCUUUAUGGCCGGGAUUUAUCCACGUACAAGCUUAGGAUGUUGACAUAAUGGCUUUAAACGACC